CCUACGGGUGGCAGCAGUAGGGAAUAUUGCUCAAUGGGGGAAACCCUGAAGCAGCAACGCCGCGUGGAGGAUGAAGGUUUUCGGAUUGUAAACUCCUUUUGUUAGAGAAGAUAAUGACGGUAUCUAACGAAUAAGCACCGGCUAACUCCGUGCCAGCAUCCGCGGUAAUACGGCGGGUGCAAGCGUUACUCGGAAUCACUGGGCGUAAAGAGCGCGUAGGCGGGAUAGCAAGUCAGAUGUGAAAUCCUAUGGCUUAACCAUAGAACUGCAUUUGAAACUGUUAUUCUAGAGUAUGGGAGAGGUAGGUGGAAUGCUUGGUGUAGGGGUGAAAUGCGUAGAGAUCAAGAGGAAUACUGAUUGCGAAGGCGGCCUGCUAGAACAUAACUGACGCUGAUGCGCGAAAGCGUGGGGAGCAAACAGGAUUAGAUACCCGAGUAGUC
This 440-nucleotide ribosomal RNA is filed under the name uncultured bacterium. Its description in RNAcentral is "partial 16S ribosomal RNA". It matches the Rfam family "Bacterial small subunit ribosomal RNA", at positions 338 to 795 of the family's 1533-position model. The record is from RNAcentral.